Molecule: long non-coding RNA, 756 nt
Organism: Echinops telfairi (small Madagascar hedgehog)
Lineage: Eukaryota; Metazoa; Chordata; Mammalia; Afrosoricida; Tenrecidae
Exons: 2
Source: RefSeq, a predicted model, not a curated record
ACGGCUGCUGACCAGUCACAUGUGGCUGGCAGGCCGCAGCGGCGGCUGCACCAUGGGCUGCCCGAAGUAAAGACAGGCUGGGUGCUAACUCCUGGGGGGCUGCCUGGCAGGGUGCAGGAGGAGUGGAGAGAAAUAGACUGUUCUGCGUCAUUGGGAUAUCGGUAACAGCAACAGCUCAAGUGAAGACAUGGGAUGAGCCAGGCCCAGCUCGAGCCCCAGGACCCCCAUGGAAAAAGGGAAUGUGGGGGAAGGGCCUGUGUCUGGGCAUGGCUCAGAGUCCAGCUGGCCAGAGGGCACAGCCCCUCCAGUUCUGGAGCCAUUCCCAAAGGGGAAAGUUUAGCCAGAACAGCAGGGAAUGAAGACGGAUUCCCUGGAGGGGAAUGAAGAAACAGUUGAGUUUAAGGGAGCUCUCUUUCCUCCCAGCAGGUUUUCUGUUUUCCAGACCCUGCGGGGGCUUGUGCUCUGAGCCCGCCCGAAAGGCACCAUGCUGAGCCCGGCCGUGGGGAGUGAGGGUCGCAAUGCCGUUUACCAGGCUCAAGCCACCAGGGCUCGAUCCCGACUCCGGGAUGGAUGAAGCCAGCCAAGCUCCGGACGUGGAUUUGCAGCAUCAGCACAGGUGGAACAGUGCCGUGCUGCCCCCGUGGCUCUGCGGUUUGGGGGACGGUGACGAUGGCCACUUUUCCUGUAUCGUUUGUGCCCACAGUAACCUGGUCCACCCACUGUUUUGAAAUGGAUUCAUAAACAUAUCAAAACAUU